CAUAGCCAAAGAUUUUAACCGGGUUGAGGGUGGGGUUAGUGAUGAUUCUGACAUCACCACCACCAGGAGCCCAGGUAUCAUAAAGACCACCAACGAACAUAGCCUUGAUUACUAGCAAGAGCGCACCACAACCAAGCAGGAUCAGGUGGAAACCGAUGAUCGAAGUCAUCUUAUCCUUGUCCUUCCA
This 187-nucleotide antisense RNA is filed under the name Thalassoporum mexicanum PCC 7367. RNAcentral describes it as "Pseudanabaena sp. PCC 7367 Antisense RNA which regulates isiA expression". It matches the Rfam family "Antisense RNA which regulates isiA expression". Lineage: Bacteria; Bacillati; Cyanobacteriota; Cyanophyceae; Pseudanabaenales; Thalassoporaceae. The record is from Rfam by way of RNAcentral.